AUAGGACAAGACUAAGUCAUCUGGGAGACCCCUUUGCUGUGUUUGGGCAAGACUCUUAACCUGGUAAACAUGUACUUCUGAAGAAAGCCUGGAGGGAGAUUUUCUUCUGGUACAGAAUAAAGACAACCUUACAAGCUGGCCAUUAUUGCUCUAUGCCUGACUAGAGAACUGAAUUAAUCAUUUUCUAAGUAUGGGAAUGGGGGGAAAACAAAGGUGGCUGAGAGAAGUGUAGUUAGUACCUGUUUAUGCAACUGUCUAAACCCUCUGAUGCUUUACGACGUCCCUGUCGGAGGAACAGGGAGCCAAAAAACUAAGAGCUGUAACUGACUGGGCAAAUGGAAGUCUUCGCUUUAAGCUUUGUAGACAGACACCUGUUUGUGAAAUUGGGGACCAGUUUUUUAAUACUCAUUUUUAUGCAAUAUGUUCAUGUAUGAAUUCUUCCUCCUAAUCCCCAGAGACCACACCCAUUAGAAUAUUCAAUUUUUCAUCAUGGAACCUGUCAUCCUGGACUGUCACUGAACAGUUGGGUUGAGUGUCACCCACACCCUAGAAAAGUGAUUAACUGGAAUUUUAACACCCGUGCUAAGUGUGUGUGGCAGUGUAGGUAUUUCUCAGUGGCUGAAAGAAUGAUGUGGCUAUAGACUGUCUAACUGAAACAGAUUUGGUAGAACAGUUUCAAUUAUGUACCCAAAGAAAGAUUCUGGACCAAAUGCAGCCUCAUCAAAUGCAGUUCAGUGAGUCUGAAAGCAGGUGUAAAUGUAGUGGAACCAGGAACUGCAGACCAUGUAAUUUGAAAAUGUUCAUCAUCCAAUAUACUUUGAAGAUUAUAGACAGGGGCCAGGCUUGUUAAAUAAGUUACCAUUAAAAAAAAUUGCAUUUUGUGCUAAACCCAAAGGAAGGACAAAUUAUCACUGUUUUGCUUCGCUUUAAAAAUGAAAUUAAAUGCACCAUGUGGCAGUGUAUUAUGUAAUUUACAUAUGUUAUUAUGGCAAAAUUUUAUUAUUUUGCCUGAUGCAAUUAGCUGAAAAGAUAUAAAUAAAACUGAUAAGAAUCUC
Herpailurus yagouaroundi (jaguarundi) is the source of this 1055-nucleotide long non-coding RNA. RefSeq lists it as uncharacterized. The record is from RefSeq and is a predicted model, not a curated record. Lineage: Eukaryota; Metazoa; Chordata; Mammalia; Carnivora; Felidae. The transcript is spliced from 2 exons.